CAACGAGUGGCGGACGGGUGAGUAACACGUAGGUAACCUGCCCAGAAGCGGGGGACAACAUUUGGAAACAGAUGCUAAUACCGCAUAACAACGUUGUUCGCAUGAACAACGCUUAAAAGAUGGCUUCUCGCUAUCACUUCUGGAUGGACCUGCGGUGCAUUAGCUUGUUGGUGGGGUAACGGCCUACCAAGGCGAUGAUGCGUAGCCGAGUUGAGAGACUGAUCGGCCACAAUGGGACUGAGACACGGCCCAUACUCCUACGGGAGGCAGCAGUAGGGAAUCUUCCACAAUGGGCGCAAGCCUGAUGGAGCAACACCGCGUGAGUGAAGAAGGGUUUCGGCUCGUAAAGCUCUGUUGUUAAAGAAGAACACGUAUGAGAGUAACUGUUCAUACGUUGACGGUAUUUAACCAGAAAGUCACGGCUAACUACGUGCCAGCAGCCGCGGUAAUACGUAGGUGGCAAGCGUUAUCCGGAUUUAUUGGGCGUAAAGAGAGUGCAGGCGGUUUUCUAAGUCUGAUGUGAAAGCCUUCGGCUUAACCGGAGAAGUGCAUCGGAAACUGGAUAACUUGAGUGCAGAAGAGGGUAGUGGAACUCCAUGUGUAGCGGUGGAAUGCGUAGAUAUAUGGAAGAACACCAGUGGCGAAGGCGGCUACCUGGUCUGCAACUGACGCUGAGACUCGAAAGCAUGGGUAGCGAACAGGAUUAGAUACCCUGGUAGUCCAUGCCGUAAACGAUGAGUGCUAGGUGUUUGGAAGGGUUUCCGCCCUUCAGUGCCGGAGCUAACGCAUUAAGCACUCCGCCUGGGGGAGUACGACCGCAAGGUUGAAACUCAAAAGGAAUUGACGGGGGCCCGCACAAGCGGUGGAGCCUUUGUGGUUUAAUUCGAAGCUACGCGAAGAACCUUACCAGGUCUUGACAUCUUGCGCAACCCUAGAAAAUUAGGGCGUUUCCUUCGGGAACGCAUUGACAAGGUGGGUG
Molecule: ribosomal RNA, 979 nt
Filed under: uncultured bacterium
Lineage: Bacteria
Description: bacterial SSU rRNA
Rfam family: Bacterial small subunit ribosomal RNA
Source: RNAcentral